RNAcentral lists this transfer RNA (87 nucleotides) under Hydrogenophaga sp. RNAcentral describes it as "tRNA-Ser". It matches the Rfam family "tRNA". Rfam says of the family: Transfer RNA (tRNA) molecules are approximately 80 nucleotides in length. Their secondary structure includes four short double-helical elements and three loops (D, anti-codon, and T loops). Lineage: Bacteria; Pseudomonadati; Pseudomonadota; Betaproteobacteria; Burkholderiales; Comamonadaceae. The record is from RNAcentral.
GGAAGGUUGGCAGAGUGGUAAUGCACCGGCUUGCUAAGCCGCCGUUCAGCAAUGGGCGCACUGGUUCGAUCCCAGUACCUUCCGCCA